RNAcentral lists this ribosomal RNA (544 nucleotides) under fungal endophyte. RNAcentral's name for it is "eukaryotic LSU rRNA". The stretch from base 169 to 322 matches the Rfam family "5.8S ribosomal RNA". The record is from RNAcentral. Lineage: Eukaryota; Fungi.
CGCUUCGGCGCACCCAGAAACCCUUUGUGAACUUAUACCUUACUGUUGCCUCGGCGCAGGCCGGCCUCUACUGCUGAGGCCCCCCGGAGACGGGGAGCAGCCCGCCGGCGGCCAACCAAACUCUUGUUUCUACAGUGAAUCUCUGAGUAAAAAACAUAAAUGAAUCAAAACUUUCAACAACGGAUCUCUUGGUUCUGGCAUCGAUGAAGAACGCAGCGAAAUGCGAUAAGUAAUGUGAAUUGCAGAAUUCAGUGAAUCAUCGAAUCUUUGAACGCACAUUGCGCCCUCUGGUAUUCCGGAGGGCAUGCCUGUUCGAGCGUCAUUUCAACCCUCAAGCCUGGCUUGGUGUUGGGGCACUGCCUGUAAAAGGGCAGGCCCUGAAAUCUAGUGGCGAGCUCGCUAGGACCCCGAGCGUAGUAGUUAUAUCUCGUUCUGGAAGGCCCUGGCGGUGCCCUGCCGUUAAACCCCCAACUUCUGAAAUUUUGACCUCGGAUCAGGUAGGAAUACCCGCUGAACUUAAGCAUAUCAAUAAGCGGAGGAGGUC